AACGAACGCUGGCGGCAGGCUUAACACAUGCAAGUCGAACGGUUGUAGCAAUACAGCAGUGGCAGACGGGUGAGUAACACGUGGGAACCUUCCUAGGGGUACGGAACAACUCAGGGAAACUUGAGCUAAUACCGUAUACGUCCGUGAGGGGAAAGAUUUAUCGCCCUUAGACGGGCCCGCGUCGGAUUAGCUAGCUGGUGGGGUAACGGCCUACCAAGGCGACGAUCCGUAGCUGAUCUUAGAGGAUGAUCAGCCACACUGGGACUGAGACACGGCCCAGACUCCUACGGGAGGCAGCAGUGGGGAAUCUUGGACAAUGGGCGCAAGCCUGAUCCAGCCAUGCCGCGUGAGUGAAGAAGGUCUUCGGAUUGUAAAGCUCUUUUGCCAGGGACGAUAAUGACGGUACCUGGAGAAUAAGCCCCGGCAAACUUCGUGCCAGCAGCCGCGGUAA
This 451-nucleotide ribosomal RNA is filed under the name uncultured bacterium. RNAcentral describes it as "partial 16S ribosomal RNA". It matches the Rfam family "Bacterial small subunit ribosomal RNA", at positions 29 to 523 of the family's 1533-position model. The record is from RNAcentral.